GACAUAAAAAGCAAAUUGUCUGUAAAAAGCCCCAAGCAAUUUGCGCGUCAGCCUUUUUAAGUUGGUGUAAUAUUAGCCACACUUACACUCAGUAUUGUAAACUACAGUUGUCAAAGGCACCUGCGUCUCCCAGCGUUUACCAACAUUUAGAUUUUGUGUUAAAGAAAAAAGAAAAAAAGAAUUCACUGGUAAUCUUCUGAGGAGUUAAACCAGAAGUAGAUCUGGAAAAUAUGUUAACCAGUCUUCAAAAGUAUUUCCGUUCCCGGAAGUCUUCACACCCUUUGUGACUAUGCCUUUUGUGACAUUUCCACACAUGUGACCUUCACACUCACCACGUUGAUUCCAACAGACAAGUCGUGGUCAGGGUUUUAUAGAGAUGGUAAGGUAAGACUUUGAAGCUGCUGUACAUCAUCAAUUCAGUCUGAAAAACAAUCUCUGUGGUUAAGCAUGUUAAAUCCCCUUGUGCUUUCACAGCAGCUUGGCUAAAGGUUAUUACUAUGAAGGCUCGGAGGGGGAGACCGAGUGCUCUCGCUGAAGCGAAUUCAAAGGAGUUACUCAUCUUGUGUGCAUUUCCAUGGAACCUCAUCAUCAGUUCGGGUGUCUACAACCUUCAUUGUGGAGUGGAUGAACCAAGAAGUGGGAUUUCACCAGACAUCAACCUUGAUCAACACCUUGAUCUCGGACUUCCCAGUCUCCAGAACUAUGAGAAAUGAAUUCCUGUUGUUUAUAAGCCACUGCAUCUAUGGGACUUUGUUAUAGCAGCCCAAAGUGACCAAGACAUCAUUCAACAUUGCUCACCAUCUCAGUCUUAGAGUACUUUUGAAUGGUGACUUCCUUUCUUAGGUGACAUAACUCACUACUAGUCAUCUCAAUUUGUGGGUGGAAAUAAAACACUUACAUCAUCCUGAUUCA
Molecule: long non-coding RNA, 912 nt
Filed under: Vulpes vulpes (red fox)
Lineage: Eukaryota; Metazoa; Chordata; Mammalia; Carnivora; Canidae
Description: lncRNA (ENSVVUG00000021422.1)
Source: RNAcentral